GCUGGGCUCAGUGGCACGUGCCUGUAGUCCCAGCUACUCAUGAGGCUGAGGCUGGAGGAUUGUUUGAGUCCAGGAGUUCUGGGCUGUGGUGCACUAUGCCAAUUGGGUGUCUGCACUAAGUUCGGCCGACAUCAAUAUGCUGACCUCCCGGGGGUAGGGGACCACCAGGUUGCCUAAGGAGGGGUGAACCGGCCCAGGUCGGAAACGGAGCAGGUCAAAACUCCCAUGCUGAUCAGUAGUGGGAUCGUGCCUGUGAAUAGCCACUGCACUCCAGCCUGGGCAACAUAGUGAGACCCCAUCUCAU
RNAcentral lists this signal recognition particle RNA (304 nucleotides) under Aotus nancymaae (Ma's night monkey). RNAcentral describes it as "Metazoan signal recognition particle RNA (ENSANAG00000010617.1)". It matches the Rfam family "Metazoan signal recognition particle RNA". From Rfam's summary of the family: The signal recognition particle (SRP) is a universally conserved ribonucleoprotein. It is involved in the co-translational targeting of proteins to membranes. Lineage: Eukaryota; Metazoa; Chordata; Mammalia; Primates; Aotidae. The record is from Rfam by way of RNAcentral.